CUAAUCCUACGGGGCGCAGCAGUGAGGAAUAUUGGUCAAUGGUCGGGAGACUGAACCAGCCAAGCCGCGUGAGGGAUGAAGGUACAGAGUAUCGUAAACCUCUUUUGUCAGGGAACAAAGGCGGGGACGUGUCCCCGGAUGAGUGUACCUGAAGAAAAAGCAUCGGCUAACUCCGUGCCAGCAGCCGCGGUAAUACGUAGGGGGCGAGCGUUAUCCGGAUUCACUGGGCGUAAAGGGAGCGCGGGCGGCACGGCAAGUCCGGGGGGAAAGCCCGGGGCCCAACCCCGGGACUGCACUGGAAACUG
RNAcentral lists this ribosomal RNA (305 nucleotides) under uncultured bacterium. Its description in RNAcentral is "bacterial SSU rRNA". It matches the Rfam family "Bacterial small subunit ribosomal RNA", at positions 333 to 635 of the family's 1533-position model. The record is from RNAcentral.